Mus musculus (house mouse) is the source of this 1130-nucleotide long non-coding RNA. RefSeq annotates it as predicted gene 15628. Lineage: Eukaryota; Metazoa; Chordata; Mammalia; Rodentia; Muridae. The record is from RefSeq and is a predicted model, not a curated record. The transcript is spliced from 2 exons.
AAAAAUCCAACAAAUUCAACCAUUAUUCAUCUACACCGCGAGCAAGUGAUUAAGAAUUGCUUGGGUAGAAAUUUCUGAUAGAAUCAUAGACCACGAAUAGAGAAAAGUUCUUACAGGCAAGGAAACGGGGUCAGUGAGGUGAAGCAACCGCAGCUGUUUGCCUCUAGACGGACAAAGCAUGACAGUUCCCACUUCCUCUCCCGCACCUUUCUACAGAGACCGAAGGGAGCUGUGCUACGGAUGACUCGAAGGCGAAAUCUGGAGCCUGUAUCUGGCGAAGUCGAUAUGACCUCCGCAGAGAGAACCAGUUUCCCUCGCUUCCUCCUGUCCUCAGCAAAAACCCUUCCCUCCUACUUUAGAGACAUAACCGAGAUACCUGGAAUCAGCCCGUCUGUUGAUCUUUGCACAUUUGUUUCUGCGGGGUGGAGGUCACUUGAGAGAAGUCUAUUAUUCCGGCCUCCUGUCUACUUCCUCUGGAGCCCUUUCCCUUCAAGUUUCCUUAUUCCUUUAGCCACAGCCUAUGGACAGCUUGUUUACAAAUCCCAGCCUCCGCCAUAGGAGGAGGCUCUUGAAGCUUUCAAAGCCCCAUCAGGCUAAUGUCUCUGUGCAUUACAUAAGAUACCUCUCCCAGAGAACUCUUUCCCCUUUGGAAAUAGACAUAAGCAAGGGGAACACAUGUUCUGAGACGUGCCAAGUCCUUAGGAAUGGCUUUAAGAUCACAAUAGCUCACAGUACAAGAAUAGUAAAACCGGUCCUUCUUGUCCCUAACUAAAUAAUUUCUACUAAGCAGAGCUGGACAUUAACCCCCUCGUUCUACUUUCUGUUGCUUCAGGAUAUAGCUCUCGGCCUUUUCCAAAUACCAGGGUCAUCAGUGUCCCUGUCUGUGUUAUUUUAUUCUUUAUACAUUUGUAGUCUUCACUGAAGACAUCAAGCGCCCCACAAGUAUGCACUACAAACACCCCACCUGAGAAAGUAGAGAGGGUUUUCUUCUCCCCAGUAACACCUUUGUAAAGUGAUACACCCCAUUACAAAUCCUCAGGAAGUGAUCUCUUUAAUGCGUUGAAUCCAGGUAUGGACUUGGAGCUGAAUAAAAAGGGAUCAUUCCGUCCUUGCUCACCUGUGCUACCUUA